This 489-nucleotide ribosomal RNA is filed under the name uncultured bacterium. Its description in RNAcentral is "partial 16S ribosomal RNA". It matches the Rfam family "Bacterial small subunit ribosomal RNA", at positions 28 to 507 of the family's 1533-position model. The record is from RNAcentral.
GAUGAACGCUAGCGGCAGGCUUAAUACAUGCAAGUCGAGGGGCAGCAGGACUGUAGCGAUACAGUUGCUGGCGACCGGCAAACGGGUGCGGAACACGUACGCAACCUACCCAAAACUGGGGGAUAGCCCGGGGAAACCCGGAUUAAUACCUCGUAACCUUUUUAAGUGGCAUCGCUUGAUAAGUAUAGCCCCGGCGGGUUUGGAUGGGCGUGCGCCUGCUUAGGUAGUGGGUGCGGGUAACGGCCCACCAUGCCUGCGAUCAGUAACUGGUGGGCGGGCACGACCAGUGAGAGGGGAACUGGGAAACGGGCCCGACGCCUACGGGAGGCAGUAGUAAGGAAGAUUGGUGAAUGGAAGCAAGUCUGAUCCAGCCAUGCCGCGUGAAGGAUGAAGGUCCUCUGGAUGGUAACCUUCUGUUAGGGGGGAGGAAACGCGGAUAUUCUUAUCCGAUUGACGGUACCUCAGGAAUAAGCACCGGCUAACUACGUG